UAUCGAGUGUUCUAUGUGUUGCAGUGACCAUUAAUACAGUGUUUCCUAUUGUUACACUGGUUUGAGGUGUUUAUCAAGUGUUCUAUCAUGUGUUACUGUAGGAUUUCAUCAGCUGCUUCAAGCCCUAAUCGUUGUUCCAAAUGUUAGAAAAAAAUCAGGCAGACCAUAAGUGACAUUGAAGUAGCAAAGAAAAUACUAUAGCUCAAAGCCAAAAGAAGUGACAAGAGUAACUAAAGGGAGAGAUUUUGAAUUACGUGUGAGUGAAGUUGCUAAGACUGUACUCUGAAACAUCUCUGGUCAGCUCCUCCAAUUGUAAACUUGUAAACGGUUCUCAGCACUGAUUGAAAGUGAAGAACAAGAAUGACAAGAGUAACUAAAGUGAGAGAGUUUGAAAGUGUGUGUGUUUGUGUGUGAGUGAGUGAGUGAAUUUUACUGAGACUGUAUUUUGAAACGUCUCUGGUCAGCUCCUCCAAUUGUAAACGGUUUGAAUUGAAUUGAAAGUCAAGAACAAGAGUGACAGAGUAACUAAAGAUAGAGAGUUUGGAAGUGUGCGUGAGUGAAGCUACUGGGAUUGUACUCUGAAGAAAGUAAAAAAAAAAAAAAAAAAAACUAGUUAGCACUUUGUAAACUUGUAAAGGGUUCUUAUGAUAGAUUGGAAGUAAAGAAUAAGAGUGACGAGUAACUAAAGAGACAGUUUGGAAGUGAGUGUGAAUGAAGUUACUGCGACUAUUCAGGAAGAUCUCUGCGCAGUGCAUCCUCUACCUCUGUAAAGUCGUGAAGGGUUCUCAGCUCAGACUGAAACUAAAGGACCUAGCAAGUGGUGCAAACAACAUCCAAAAAAAAAAAAAAAAAAAAUGAUUCGGGUUAAAAAGAAAAUGAAGAAGAAUAGAGUUUCCGGUAGUAGGAAGAAAAUUAAUGAAAUGAAAGCUAAAAGUGAAGAAAAACAAACAAGCAAUGGUCUAACUUUUUGUAUAAGAGGGAUGCUGGCACAGGGCAACGAAAUGGACAAAGUUGACACUCCCUAAAAAAAAAAAAAAAAAAAAAGUAAAUAAAAAAAUGAUAAAAAAUGAAAAAAAUAGAUAAAAAUAAAUAAAUAAAUAAAUGUAAAAUUGGAGGACGAACGUCUAGAAACCUUCCUCUAGAAAGAGUUCAAGUCAUAAGAAGAGGAAACAGAGAAACAGAGAAGAGUUCCAGAGUUUGCUAGAAAAAGAAAAAGGAUGAAAGAUUAAGAACACUGGCGAAGCUACAGAACAGGAAUGAGAGAAAAUACAAAGGCUUCGUUGCCUCAGACAGCUGUUUCGGCGAGGGAAAAGAUAAGGUUUAGAAGAGAAGAGGCGGCAGUCCACACAUUGAAAUUUAGAGCCAAAGCCGCGAAUGUUGCAUAAGUUAAUGGCGAAGAGACAGUUUGCUCUCAGGAUCGAAACAAGAAGAGCAGGCCGACGUGGUGACAUUUGUGGUCUCCCUUCCAGGACGAGAAUUACGUGGCUGGUGCAGGAGUCGCUAUAGUGAAGGUGGUGGAUAAAUUUCAGGUUGACUCAUGAUUACAAGUCUAACGUUUCCACUAUAAAUAAUUUCUCUGACGAAGACUUAGAGUUGAAACGUUAGAGAAACAAAGUAUUCCUGGGUCAAUGUAAGACUCAUCUACCACCUUCACUACCCAACUCUCCACACAACUGUAUCGAGUCGCUUAUAGAAAAAAAAAGAAGAAAAGUUGGGGUAUCGAGUGAAGUGUGUGCGUGUGAUAAGCAGCAUGUAGAAUUGUGCCAAGGAAGAGAGUUGUCCUGACUGACGCCCUGUUAUUUACGUCCGAUCUCAGAAAUGCCUUGUUCUCUCAUCUCGACAGUUUUCCAAGGCCACAGAGACGACUAGCCUGGUUUUCAAGACAGUUUCUCCUUAUAAUAAUCUAGAAAUCUUGCCUCUCCAUCACCCGAACCUUAAAAAUAUCCUUAAAAAACAUGAACAUCUUGAACUAAACCCUUUGGAAAGUAAUGAUGGUAAGAGGGCAGAGCGUUCAAGAAUACUGACCUCAAGAUACAAAGGGAGGCCACAAAGACUCUUGAAGGUCACAGCUGGGUCAUAGACAAGUUCACAGCACCUCUUGGCCCAGUGUUUGAGACCCUCCUGGGAGUAAUCAUCGCUUCGCGUCACGCCACUCCUCUCCACGCAUCCUGUGUGUGUGUAGUACUGUGUACGUGUGUGUGGGCGCCGCUGAGACAUGGCAGAUAGUGAAGGGCAGAAGCAAGACACAGGCGCCUCUGAGGACAUCAAUAAACCCUUCACAAUCGACCACACGAAGAGAAAAACAGAGGUGGAUAUUUGCCCUGCAGUCACCAGUAAAGAGAUCAGAGAACCAGAGGAUACCAUGGCGAACGAGACUAGGGCAGAGCAGCUCCUGGCGCUGGGCAUAGAGUGUCUAGAGAAGGAUGAAGACUUGGAGGCCCUGAACCACCUGACGGAGGCCAUAGCAUUGGACACCAGUAACCCUCUCCUCUUUAUUAACAGGGCGGCUGCUUAUGCCCGGCUGAAGAAUUAUGAUGACGCGAUGGAGGACGCCGAGACAGUGGUGGAGAUGCGUCCAGACUGGCCUGAGGCAUAUCUGAGGAAGGGUACCAUCUGGCUGGCUGAGUUUCGGCACCGUCUGGCUUACUGUACCUUGGAGAGCGGUCUGUUGCGGGAUCCUGGGAAUGAGAAGCUGGGGAGGGCCUUCUUUGAGACCAAGACAAGGAUGCAGAAGGCGAGGAAGGGCACCAAGUACCCGAAGCCUCUCACUCACCCGCUGAUGGACAAGUCGACCCACGAGCUGCUCAGAGUGAACCCCAUCACUAGUGACUUCAUGACCGACCCCGCGUUUGUUGACAUGCUGAACCGAGCGAGGCGAGACCAUGACCUGUGGAACGAGGUGAAAUAUUCCGAGGACGAACGUUACAUGGUAGCCAACACCGUCGCUUUGACCUUUGAAGUGAACGCUGUGGAGACCGACUCGAGCGACAUACGUGAUAAAGAGAAACACAGCGAGGAUCUCAAAAGGUUUAAUUACCCUUACAUUCAGAGAUUCGAGGCUGUGCGCAAGAUAGUCCUCCCCGCAGACCGUCCACCUGUCCCAGCCCCGCCCGAAGUGAAGAGAAGAACCCCCUCGCCAGUUGUGAAGUAUCCGAAGGGGUGUGAAAUAGAUGGGUCCCCCCUGCUUGGCGAAAUGAAUCUUUGUCAACCCUCGUUUUCUUUUGAGUGAAGUUGUGUUAUUGAAGCGAGAGGUGGCGAGGGAAAGGGAACAAGAGGCCGGCGUGCUAAGUGACGUGUGAGGUGAGAAGAGCAUUGCCUUACUCCCGCCACUCUUCCUACUGCCUGGUGUUGCUCUGUGCUGGUAAAAAUCAGUCUGUUAUUUAGCACAGUAUUUUGAAGCAUUUCUGUGCCGCAUCUCCCCUAUUUGAAGUCUGUAGUGUAAAUUAUCCGAAGUUUUAAGGGUGUCUGUACGGUUUUAGUGGCAUAUUAACGCUAUUUCUACAUUAUUAACAGAAGUAACAGUCUUUAGAACAAGGCAACUUAUCUCUGUGGUCUCUGAAAACAGUUGUGGUGUGGGAGCAAAACGUUUCUGGUCUUACUCAGCAUAUAUACACAUACAUACACAUACAUAAUAUAUAACAUACGUUUUUUUUUUUUUCCGGCUAAUAGUACCCUUAGUAUUAUUCUACUUGGAGAAGCAAUUUAUCCAUUCAAUUAUUACGUGCAUACUUACAUACACAUAUACAUAGGUCAAAUAUAUACAGCAGUUCUUAUAUUGUUCUGCUAAUGGGACUUGUUUUAUUAGAUUUCUCGUUGAGAUAGACAAAUAAUUCAUUCAGUUGAUACAUGCAUACUUAUAUACACGUAUACAUACUUUAUAUAUUACAUACUUGAUUAUAUACCACAAUUAUUAUAUAUUUUUUUCAUUAGAAUUCUCGUUUGGAAAGACAUACUUAAAUGAUGACGAUGAUUGAUGAUAAUGGUGAUGAUGAUGAUAAUGGUGAUGAUACUUAAAUGAUGACGAUGAUUGAUGAUAAUG
Molecule: unclassified non-coding RNA, 4039 nt
Filed under: Portunus trituberculatus (swimming crab)
Lineage: Eukaryota; Metazoa; Arthropoda; Malacostraca; Decapoda; Portunidae
Description: hsp70-Hsp90 organizing protein 1-like, transcript variant X1
Source: RNAcentral